This 58-nucleotide microRNA precursor is filed under the name Caenorhabditis briggsae. RNAcentral's name for it is "mir-7583 microRNA precursor family". It matches the Rfam family "mir-7583 microRNA precursor family". Lineage: Eukaryota; Metazoa; Nematoda; Chromadorea; Rhabditida; Rhabditidae. The record is from Rfam by way of RNAcentral.
AGUUGCAAAUAUUGUGGUGGCAUCACUAAUUGUUUUGCAAUCUGACUUUUAUGGUUGA